This 485-nucleotide ribosomal RNA is filed under the name Splanchnonema platani. RNAcentral's name for it is "SSU rRNA". It matches the Rfam family "Eukaryotic small subunit ribosomal RNA", at positions 194 to 679 of the family's 1831-position model. Lineage: Eukaryota; Fungi; Ascomycota; Dothideomycetes; Pleosporales. The record is from RNAcentral.
GGAAGGGGUGUAUUUAUUAGAUAAAAAACCAAUGCCCUCCGGGGCUUUAUGGUGAUUCAUAAUAACUUCUCAGAUCGCAUGGCCUUGCGCCGGCGACGGUUCAUUCAAAUUUCUGCCCUAUCAACUUUCGAUGGUACGGUAGUGGCCUACCAUGGUUUCAACGGGUAACGGGGAAUUAGGGUUCGAUUCCGGAGAGGGAGCCUGAGAAACGGCUACCACAUCCAAGGAAGGCAGCAGGCGCGCAAAUUACCCAAUACCGAUACGGUGAGGUAGUGACAAUAAAUACUGAUACAGGGCUCUUUAGGGUCUUGUAAUUGGAAUGAGUACAAUUUAAACCUCUUAACGAGGAACAAUUGGAGGGCAAGUCUGGUGCCAGCAGCCGCGGUAAUUCCAGCUCCAAUAGCGUAUAUUAAAGUUGUUGCAGUUAAAAAGCUCGUAGUUGAACCUUUGGCCUGGCUGGCUGGUCCGCCUCACCGCGUGCACUA